GUCCCUCAAGUUCUUCACAGAGGAUGGGGCGAUCAACUGAUCUGGGCUCAAACCUACGAGGAAGCACUGCACUGGUCCAGAUCAAAGAACAGGCCUCUGAUGGUCAUUCAUCACCUCGAUGAUUGUCCACACAGUCAGG
This is a long non-coding RNA of Cynoglossus semilaevis (tongue sole), 139 nucleotides long. RefSeq lists it as uncharacterized. The record is from RefSeq and is a predicted model, not a curated record. The transcript has 3 exons. NCBI's taxonomy places the organism in Eukaryota, Metazoa, Chordata, Actinopteri, Pleuronectiformes, Cynoglossidae.